RNAcentral lists this ribosomal RNA (460 nucleotides) under uncultured bacterium. RNAcentral's name for it is "partial 16S ribosomal RNA". It matches the Rfam family "Bacterial small subunit ribosomal RNA", at positions 338 to 795 of the family's 1533-position model. The record is from RNAcentral.
CCUACGGGAGGCAGCAGUGAGGAAUAUUGGGCAAUGGACGAGAGUCUGAACCAGCCAAGUAGCGUGAAGGAUGACUGCCCUAUGGGUUGUAAACUUCUUUUAUAUGGGAAUAAAAUGUUCCACGUGUGGGAUUUUGUAUGUCACAUAUGAAUACGGAUAGGCUAACUCCGUGCCAGCAGCGGCGGUAAUACGGAGGAUCCGAGCGUUAUCCGGUUUUCAUGGGGUUAACGGGAGCGUAAGUGGAUUGUUAAGGCAGUUGGUAAAGUGUGCGGCUCAACCGUAAAAUUGCAGUUGAAACUGGCAGUCUUGAGUACAGUAGAGGUGGGCGGAAUUCGUGGUGAAGCGGUGAAAUGCUUAGAUAUCACGAAGAACUCCGAGUGCGAAGGCAGUUCACUGGACUGCAACUGACACUGAGGCUCGAAAGUGUGGGUAUCAAACAGGAUUAGAUACCCGGGUAGUC